UACGGAGGGUGCAAGCGUUAUCCGGAAUCAUUGGGUUUAAAGGGUCCGCAGGCGGACGUAUAAGUCAGUGGUGAAAGCCUACAGCUCAACUGUAGAACUGCCAUUGAUACUGUACGUCUUGAAUUCGGUCGAAGUGGGCGGAAUAUGACAUGUAGCGGUGAAAUGCAUAGAUAUCGUCCAGAACACCGAUAGUGAAGACAGCUUACCAGAGUGCAACUGACGCUGAGGCACGAAAGUGUGGGGAUCAAACAGGAUUAGAUACCCUGGUAGU
RNAcentral lists this ribosomal RNA (271 nucleotides) under uncultured bacterium. RNAcentral describes it as "partial 16S ribosomal RNA". It matches the Rfam family "Bacterial small subunit ribosomal RNA", at positions 524 to 794 of the family's 1533-position model. The record is from RNAcentral.